GAUGAACGCUGGCGGCGUGCCUAAUACAUGCAAGUCGAGCGAACAGAUGAGGAGCUUGCUCCUCUGACGUUAGCGGCGGACGGGUGAGUAACACGUGGAUAACCUACCUAUAAGACUGGGAUAACUUCGGGAAACCGGAGCUAAUACCGGAUAAUAUAUUGAACCGCAUGGUUCAAUAGUGAAAGACGGUUUUGCUGUCACUUAUAGAUGGAUCCGCGCCGCAUUAGCUAGUUGGUAAGGUAACGGCUUACCAAGGCGACGAUGCGUAGCCGACCUGAGAGGGUGCACGGCACACUGGGAACGAAAACCGGUGCCAGGGACGAGGGGAAGGGGCGUAAUGGGAUUCUCCCGCAAGGGGAGAAAGCGUGAAGGGCCAAGGCCGCGGGAGUGAAGAGGUGCUCGGGUUCUUAAAACCUUUUAAUAGGGGAAGAAAAAAUGUGUAAGUACCAUGCCCCUUUUGAACGGACCCGAAACAAAAACCCCGGGAAAAUAACGG
Molecule: ribosomal RNA, 496 nt
Filed under: uncultured bacterium
Lineage: Bacteria
Description: partial 16S ribosomal RNA
Rfam family: Bacterial small subunit ribosomal RNA
Source: RNAcentral